This 250-nucleotide long non-coding RNA is filed under the name Malus domestica (apple). Its description in RNAcentral is "long non-coding RNA (MDOM_LNC019043)". Lineage: Eukaryota; Viridiplantae; Streptophyta; Magnoliopsida; Rosales; Rosaceae. The record is from RNAcentral.
CAGCAGUCGGCGGGGCCACGGAAGGAGGAGGUAUCGGAGGUUGAUCAGUUGGAGCUUCACUACGCGGUGCUGCCCCAGAAGACGAAGGCAGAUGCGGUUGGAACAAACCUACAAACCUCCGGUGAUCAAGUAAAAUAUGACCAUCAUUUUCCUGCAGCUGGUCAAUUUUCCUCUUCAUGUUUGUGGCAUAAUUGUGUGCAAGCUUGUGCAAUUGUUUAUUUUCAUGCUUGAGUCCUUUAAUCUCCUCUUU